This 152-nucleotide unclassified non-coding RNA is filed under the name uncultured Ascomycota. RNAcentral describes it as "sequence contains ITS2". RNAcentral also lists the same sequence under 1 other name. Lineage: Eukaryota; Fungi; Ascomycota. The record is from RNAcentral.
CAACCCCUAAGCACAGCUUAUUGUUGGGAACCUACGGCUUCGUAGUUCCUCAAAGACAUUGGCGGAGUGGCAGUGGUCCUCUGAGCGUAGUAAUCUUUUAUCUCGCUUCUGUUAGGUGCUGCCCCCCGGCCGUAAAACCCCCAAUUUUUUCU